RNAcentral lists this transfer RNA (556 nucleotides) under uncultured Prochlorococcus sp. RNAcentral's name for it is "partial 16S-23S ribosomal RNA intergenic spacer; may also contain 16S ribosomal RNA and 23S ribosomal RNA". The stretch from base 203 to 275 matches the Rfam family "tRNA". The record is from RNAcentral. Lineage: Bacteria; Bacillati; Cyanobacteriota; Cyanophyceae; Synechococcales; Prochlorococcaceae.
GGAGACAACAAAAUGUAAUAUAAUUUUGUCACCUUAGGUCGAUCGGUAUCUCAGAUUCUUAAUUUUAAGAAUUUCAGUUUCUAAGUUUUUCUAGGUCACACCCAUCACUUUUUCAUGGGCCAUUAGCUCAGGUGGUUAGAGCGCACCCCUGAUAAGGGUGAGGUCCCUGGUUCAAGUCCAGGAUGGCCCAUAUCUCUAUGUUGGGGGUAUAGCUCAGUUGGUAGAGCGCCUGCUUUGCAAGCAGGAUGUCAGCGGUUCGAGUCCGCUUACCUCCACUGAAUACCACUCUCACAUAUUUUUAAUGAGGGAAAUUGUUAGUGUUGUGUCCUAUUUCCUCUGAAUGAAUCUAGCUUCCUAUUUUUACCAAAAUAAAUAAGAUGCUGGACUCAUUGAAUUUCAAUUCAUUGUUUUCAGAGAACCUUGACAACUGCAUAGAUUAUUUUUGAAGACAAUAAGCAUCUUUAAUGAUGCAGAUUUAUUAUUUGUGCUAAUGCAUUAAAUAACAAUUCUAUUAAGCUGAUGCUUCAAUAUAUUGAAGUUAUUGGUCAAGCUACAA